CAUGCGAUAACCUGUCUGUCCCCGAAUUUGGUUACGUGGCCUGUAACGGUUGGCGACCAGACUUUGGACAAUAUUGUUUGAUUGGCUGCCUGGCGAACCGAACCCUACCACGUGACAUUGAUGGCAGCCAAUGGUAUGCAUGUGGAGCAGGCGGAACCUGGUCUUCAAACCCAGGAAUGAUCCAGUGUGAAGAUAAGGCUGACCCCAUCGGUGCGUCUGGUGGCAUCCUCGGCAGUCCGGAUUCUUGUGAUGACGUCAGUGCCGUAAAAGAACAGUAUAUCUCAUCACUGAAGAAUUCGGAUUUUAACACUGCAUGUCUGAAACACACCGAUCUGUGUGUACCUGCUAAUGUCAACAUUCGAUGUUGAUAGAAAACGGACUUUCAAACAUUGUUAUUAUCAUCUGGAUAGCUCUGGCUUCUUGCCCAAACGUGGUAGGCCCAGUAAAGUCCAGUUGCACUGUCAGAUGUAGAUUUCCUGGAAAAGCAAAGUGAGUCAUGAUGUCCCUUGGCAUAUAAUUUAGAGACCUCAAUGGCGCGUGAAGAAUAUUGAGGAGAUAAUGGACUUGCUCUCCAUAAUAGGGACCGUUCAUAAUUUAUAGUUAGGGCGUGUAUGUACACAAUUGCUGACCCCCCCUAGUAUAUGUGUAUAAAAUUGAUGACCUCACCCCCCCACACACUACCUUCCCAGAAUAAAUGGGCGACCCCCUUAAAACCAUCACGCACGCACGCACGGACACGCACGCACACACACACUAGCCAUAAAUUAUGAACGGUCCCUUACGGUGACGGAUGGUCACAUUCAGCCUUCGAGUUAAACAUAGGCAUUUGCUAAAACUGUCCGGUAAUGAAAAUACGCUGAUAACAAGCACAGGUCAUGGUCGUUUCUUAUCAACGAAAUCUAUUGUCUCAAUUUACACACAUGCUUCUGAAGUAGCCGGAAUAGUGCAACGGACUCUACUUGUAGUUGAGAUGUUUUUUAUGGAAAUUGUUUUGCCGUUUAUAUAAUUAUUCAUAUCUAUGGUACUCUUUGUGAAUAUGAGAUUGUGAUUAUGAUUAUGAUGCCAUAGGGCCGUUUACUUGUGAUCAUUGACAAGAGUGAAUGUAAUAAAUAAUACAAAA
Haliotis rubra (blacklip abalone) is the source of this 1120-nucleotide long non-coding RNA. RefSeq lists it as uncharacterized. Lineage: Eukaryota; Metazoa; Mollusca; Gastropoda; Lepetellida; Haliotidae. The record is from RefSeq and is a predicted model, not a curated record. The transcript has 2 exons.